RNAcentral lists this ribosomal RNA (449 nucleotides) under uncultured bacterium. RNAcentral's name for it is "partial 16S ribosomal RNA". It matches the Rfam family "Bacterial small subunit ribosomal RNA", at positions 29 to 523 of the family's 1533-position model. The record is from RNAcentral.
AACGAACGCUGGCGGCAGGCCUAACACAUGCAAGUCGAACGGACCCUUCGGGGUUAGUGGCGCACGGGUGAGUAACGCGUGGGAACGUGCCCUUAGGUACGGAACAACAGUUGGAAACGACUGCUAAUACCGUAUGAUGACGUAAGUCCAAAGAUUUAUCGCCUAAGGAUCGGCCCGCGUUAGAUUAGAUAGUUGGUGAGGUAAUGGCUCACCAAGUCUACAAUCUAUAGCUGGUCUCAGAGGAUGAUCAGCCACACUGGAACUGAAACACGGUCCAGACUCCUACGGGAGGCAGCAGUGAGGAAUAUUGGACAAUGGGCGAAAGCCUGAUCCAGCCAUGCCGCGUGAAUGAUGAAGGCCUUAGGGUUGUAAAGUUCUUUUAGUAGUGAAGAUGAUGACGGUAACUACAGAAAAAGCUCCGGCUAACUUCGUGCCAGCCGCCGCAGUAA